RNAcentral lists this long non-coding RNA (439 nucleotides) under Cyanistes caeruleus (blue tit). RNAcentral describes it as "lncRNA (ENSCCEG00000021667.1)". Lineage: Eukaryota; Metazoa; Chordata; Aves; Passeriformes; Paridae. The record is from RNAcentral.
AUGAUAGCUUUAUUGUGUGGAGAUAAUAACACUAAACAUCCUCUACAAAGAUACAUCCUUUUUUUGUUUCCCCAGAGAGAUCUGCAGAUGUCUUUUAUAUCAUCUCUUGAACUGCCACAUGAAAAAGAAAAACUUCAAAAUUCGGGUCAUCCAGGGCAGUGGGAAUUAAAUAAAGAAUGUGAUCCUCACCUGUCAGUCCUACCUUUUGCUCCUGUAAACAAACUCCCAUUCCUGCAAGGCCACAUGAAUGUGAAGAAGUUGUGCUGAAGACUGAAUUGACCUGGGUUUUUUACAAAGACCUUCCUUCUAUCCACCAGUUCAGACUUGUAGCUGCUUUGCUAUUCUUCCAGCCCAGUGUUAUACCGACAUACGUAGAACUGUUUGUCUGUAAAUUAGCCUUGUGAUUUCAGCCAAAUAAAGUCUGCCUACAGGUGUAACA